RNAcentral lists this ribosomal RNA (466 nucleotides) under uncultured bacterium. RNAcentral describes it as "bacterial SSU rRNA". It matches the Rfam family "Bacterial small subunit ribosomal RNA", at positions 28 to 507 of the family's 1533-position model. The record is from RNAcentral.
GACGAACGCUGGCGGCGCGCCUAACACAUGCAAGUCGAACGAGAAAGGAAGAGCUUGCUCUUCUAAUCGAGUGGCGAACGGGUGAGUAACGCGUGAGGAACCUGCCUCAAAGAGGGGGACAACAGUUGGAAACGACUGCUAAUACCGCAUAAGCCCACGACCCGGCAUCGAGCAGAGGGAAAAGGAGCAAUCCGCUUUGAGAUGGCCUCGCGUCCGAUUAGCUAGUUGGUGAGGUAACGGCCCACCAAGGCGACGAUCGGUAGCCGGACUGAGAGGUUGAACGGCCACAUUGGGACUGAGACACGGCCCAGACUCCUACGGGAGGCAGCAGUGGGGAAUAUUGCACAAUGGGGGAAACCCUGAUGCAGCGACGCCGCGUGGAGGAAGAAGGUCUUCGGAUUGUAAACUCCUGUUGUUGAGGAAGAUAAUGACGGUACUCAACAAGGAAGUGACGGCUAACUACGUG